Molecule: long non-coding RNA, 2363 nt
Organism: Mesocricetus auratus (golden hamster)
Lineage: Eukaryota; Metazoa; Chordata; Mammalia; Rodentia; Cricetidae
Exons: 2
Source: RefSeq, a predicted model, not a curated record
ACCCCAGGGCCUGGAGUAACAUCUAUGGGGGGUUAAAGAUGACGUCAUUCAACACAUGAUACUCAUGAGACCUGAGACUUCUCACCAAAGCCCAGGAUCCCAGAGGCAGUAGCCUGAUAUACUCAAAUGGUCAAGAAAAUAUUUGUCUGCCAGAACCCUAAGACAACGUGUGGGAGAUGGAGCCAUAUUCUGGCACCCUAGGCCCUUCCUCUCUCAAACAAAAAUCUUUAGUUAUGUCACUGAAAUACAACAGAAAUUGGUUCCUUGUGUAUCUAGACAUUCGCAAGAUAAGAUCAAGUACCUGAGGACUUUGCCCUGUUCCAUAUAUUUCAUCGAAAGAAGAGGAUCUGACUAUUUUCUCUGCCCUUGCCAAUCAUGACCUUGAACUGCCAGGAAGAUCCCAAGAUAACCACCUAGCUUGAGGCUUUCUGUCAAAGCACAGACACAUUGGUGCCCUUCCCUAAGAGACCAUCCAUUGUGGCCUGUCAGUCCUCUCAACAGUACACAUGACUUGGCCUGUACUCAGAAAGUGGCUGAAUUAAAAAGGGAAACACUAGGGACUUGGAAGGGGGCAGUGAGAUCACGGGAAUGUGGUCCAAGUUUUUGUACAUGUAUGGAAAUGCCCCAUGAGAAUCUUGUUCAAUUAAUAUAGACUGAUAUUUUUAAAUGGCAAAAGAAGAGAUAAGUCCAGAUAAAAUGACACAUUAAAAUAGAGUAAAUUCAGUCGGACUUUGGUGGCACACCCCUUAAGUCCCAGCAAAUGCGAGGCAUGGACAGGUGAAUCUCUGUGAGUUUGUGCCAUCGUGGUCUACACAUGAGUUCCAGGACAGCCUCCAAAACCCUGUCUCGAAAAAUCAAAACAUAACACGUAGAGUAAAUUCUAAUACCCCAAACCAAAGAAGAAGGACUGGAGAUUUAGUUUAAAUUCAGGGAAACAAAAUCUCUAAACCCGGUAUCUGUGAACUAGAGGCCACUCACUGUGUUCAGAUUCACCAAUUCACCACUAUCCAAGUACAAGUAGCUCACUGAUAAGUGAAUCUCAAUAGUCUCCAACCAGCUAACAGCUUCUGAACUGUAAGGACUGGAGUCAGCCUCAGCCAGAGCUGUUAGUGCAGAGGAUUCUGUCAUUGUGAGGUCACAGCAAGAAAUGGACCAAUGGCAGCUCAGCACACCUUGUUGGUUUCUUUACCUUCUGUCACCAAGGACAGGAAAGCUAUUCUGUUCAGUGUGGCAGUAGGAGCCUGAUGACACUGGCUACAUUCAAAUGGCUGUCCCCAAUGUGCCCAAUGAGCCUCUACUUCCUGUAAAGCCACUUUCCUGGGUCCACCAGUUUUCCCAAAUGAUGUCACCUGGUGGGGACUGCGUCCAAACACUUGAUUCUUUGUGGGACAUUGACAUCCAACCUUAACCAGGAUGUGUUUCACUUUUAUAAUGAAACAGAAUCAUAAGAAUGACAAAGGGCCCCGCAACAUUGGCCCUCCCUUGGUUAUGGAUUCUGACAUGCUCAGGGUAGUAGGGGCAUAGUGUUUUGCUUUUCUCUUGGACCUACCACCCUAGGACAAGGAUGUAAUAACUCAGCAUGUCUACACUCAAAAGUUUUCAGGUUAUUUUUCUCUAAAGACUGAUUCCUGGGCUCUAUAGGAUGACUGCAUUGGGAUGUGGUGACAAAAUACUGUGUUCCAUUGCACCCUAGGGCCUGGAACAAACAUCUGUGGGGGUUAAAGAUGACAGCAUUCAUCACAUGGUCUCCAGUAGGCCUGAGACUUCUCACCAAAGCCCAGGAUCCCAGAGGCAGGAGCCUGGCAUGUUCAAAAUGGUCAAGAAAAUACUUGUCUGCAAGAGCCCUAAGACAACCCAUGUGGGAGAUGCAGGCAUAUCCUGGCACCCUAGGUUCUAUGAUGGCUCAACAUACCUCACUCACACACAUGUGUCCCCAAGGACAUGAAGGCUGGUCUGGUCAGUGGGGCAGAAUGGCCCAAGGAGGCUGUUUGCAUUCAGUUAGCUUCUCUAUACCUCCCAUGACCCUCGUCCUCAUUCUAGGUUUGAUUUCUCACAUUUUCCAUAAGUUCAAAAACAGUGAAGUCCAAUGCUAGGGAUCAAUAUUCAAACACAGGAUCAUUCCUUGGACAUUUAACAUCUAAACUUUAAUACACACCCUCUCAAGGUUAAUACUUCUAGGUGGAAUAAUUGAAGUAUCAUAGUCUACAGAUGUUGUCCUUUACUGGUUUAUGGAUUCUGUGUAUCUGCGGCUGUGAUAAAACCUCAUGACAACAAACAAUUUUAGGAAGAUUUAUUCCACUUUCACUUCCCAAAUAUAAGCUAUCACAAGUACAGUGCUGUGAUUAAAGGUGUUUGCUACCAAA